Molecule: ribosomal RNA, 253 nt
Filed under: uncultured bacterium
Lineage: Bacteria
Description: partial 16S ribosomal RNA
Rfam family: Bacterial small subunit ribosomal RNA
Source: RNAcentral
GACGUAGGGGGCAAGCGUUGUCCGGAUUUACUGGGUGUAAAGGGUGCUCAGGCGGAUUCGUAAGUCAGUGGUGAAAUCCCGGAGCUUAACUCCGGAACUGCCAUUGAUACUGCGAGUCUCGAGUUUGGAAGAGGUAGAUGGAAUAUCUGGUGUAGCAGUGAAAUGCGUAGAUAUCAGAUAGAACACCAAUGGCGAAGGCAGUCUACUGGUCCAAUACUGACGCUAAAGCACGAAAGUGUGGGUAGCAAACAGG